This is a long non-coding RNA of Alosa sapidissima (American shad), 304 nucleotides long. RefSeq lists it as uncharacterized. The transcript is spliced from 3 exons. NCBI's taxonomy places the organism in Eukaryota, Metazoa, Chordata, Actinopteri, Clupeiformes, Clupeidae. The record is from RefSeq and is a predicted model, not a curated record.
UUUUAGUUCUACGAUUUCGUCGACUGCCUUACCGCUGCCAGAGCUGAGUUAGACAUUAACGGAGGCGGUUGGUGAACACGAGAGCUAGUGAAAAGAAGAGUUCGUUUGAUUUGUUUCAGCCCCAGGACCGAGGCGUUCAGGUGGCGUGACUGGCGUGCCCUGUCUGCAAUCCUCCCUUUCAGUAAGGGGCAGUAAGGACAAGAUCCACCCACCACCCAGUGCAUGCUACAUAUGUGUGUGUAAUAAAUUGAGAGGGAAAGUGUGUGUGAUAAAUGAAAUUUAAUAAAGUAAGUAAAAUUUUGAA